Molecule: small nuclear RNA, 158 nt
Organism: Heterocephalus glaber (naked mole-rat)
Lineage: Eukaryota; Metazoa; Chordata; Mammalia; Rodentia; Bathyergidae
Gene: U2
Rfam family: U2 spliceosomal RNA
About the family: U2 is a small nuclear RNA (snRNA) component of the spliceosome (involved in pre-mRNA splicing). Complementary binding between U2 snRNA (in an area lying towards the 5' end but 3' to hairpin I) and the branchpoint sequence (BPS) of the intron results the bulging out of an unpaired adenosine, on the BPS, which initiates a nucleophilic attack at the intronic 5' splice site, thus starting the first of two transesterification reactions that mediate splicing.
Source: Ensembl
AUCGCUUCUCGGCCUUUUGGCUAAGAUCAAGUGUAGUACAAGAAAAAGAAGAUUUCAGAUUGGAGACCAAGGAAAACUUAACUUUGUUCUGUAUGCAGAAGAUACUUUUAAAACUUUCGGAAGAGUUGAAAUUAAAGUCAUUCUUGAGAUGUCGAUAU